RNAcentral lists this ribosomal RNA (372 nucleotides) under uncultured bacterium. RNAcentral describes it as "bacterial SSU rRNA". It matches the Rfam family "Bacterial small subunit ribosomal RNA", at positions 917 to 1289 of the family's 1533-position model. The record is from RNAcentral.
GGGCCCGCACAAGCGGUGGAGUAUGUGGUUUAAUUCGAUGCAACGCGAAGAACCUUACCAGGGUUUGACAUCCUGCGAAUCUCUUGGAAACAGGAGAGUGCCUUCGGGAACGCAGUGACAGGUGGUGCAUGGCUGUCGUCAGCUCGUGUCGUGAGAUGUUGGGUUAAGUCCCGCAACGAGCGCAACCCUUAUCCUUGUUUGCCAGCGAGUAAUGUCGGGAACUCCAGGGAGACUGCCGGUGAUAAACCGGAGGAAGGUGUGGAUGACGUCAAGUCAUCAUGCCCCUUACAUCCUGGGCUACACACGUACUACAAUGCUACGGACAAAGGGCUGCAAGUUCGCGAGAGCUAGCAAAUCCCAUAAACGUGGCUC